This 1101-nucleotide ribosomal RNA is filed under the name Bacillus sp. R52. RNAcentral's name for it is "bacterial SSU rRNA". It matches the Rfam family "Bacterial small subunit ribosomal RNA", at positions 52 to 1169 of the family's 1533-position model. Lineage: Bacteria; Bacillati; Bacillota; Bacilli; Caryophanales; Bacillaceae. The record is from RNAcentral.
AUCAUGCAAGUCGAGCGAAUGAUGAGGAGCUUGCUCCUCUGAUUUAGCGGCGGACGGGUGAGUAACACGUGGGUAAUCUGCCUGUAAGACGGGGAUAACUCCGGGAAACCGGGGCUAAUACCGGAUAAUAAGAGAAGAAGCAUUUCUUCUUUUUGAAAGUCGGUUUCGGCUGACACUUACAGAUGAGCCCGCGGCGCAUUAGCUAGUUGGUGAGGUAACGGCUCACCAAGGCGACGAUGCGUAGCCGACCUGAGAGGGUGAUCGGCCACACUGGGACUGAGACACGGCCCAGACUCCUACGGGAGGCAGCAGUAGGGAAUCUUCGGCAAUGGGCGAAAGCCUGACCGAGCAACGCCGCGUGAGCGAUGAAGGCCUUCGGGUCGUAAAGCUCUGUUGUUAGAGAAGAACAAGUACGAGAGUAACUGCUCGUACCUUGACGGUACCUAACCAGAAAGCCACGGCUAACUACGUGCCAGCAGCCGCGGUAAUACGUAGGUGGCAAGCGUUAUCCGGAAUUAUUGGGCGUAAAGCGCGCGCAGGCGGUCUCUUAAGUCUGAUGUGAAAGCCCACGGCUCAACCGUGGAGGGUCAUUGGAAACUGGGAGACUUGAGUGCAGGAGAGAAAAGUGGAAUUCCACGUGUAGCGGUGAAAUGCGUAGAGAUGUGGAGGAACACCAGUGGCGAAGGCGGCUUUUUGGCCUGUAACUGACGCUGAGGCGCGAAAGCGUGGGGAGCAAACAGGAUUAGAUACCCUGGUAGUCCACGCCGUAAACGAUGAGUGCUAGGUGUUGGGGGGUUCCACCCUCAGUGCUGAAGUUAACACAUUAAGCACUCCGCCUGGGGAGUACGACCGCAAGGUUGAACUCAAGGAAUUGACGGGGGCCCGCACAGCAGUGAGCAUGUGGUUUAAUCGAGCACGCGAGACUACCAGUCUGACAUCCUCUGACCACUCUAGAGAUAGAGCUUCCCCUCGGGGACGAGUGACAGUGUGCAUGGCUGUCGUCAGCUCAGUCGUGAAUGUGGGUAAGUCCGCACGAGGCAUCUGACCUAGCGCAGCAUCAGUGUCCUAGGUACUGCGUACAAUCGGACGAGAUCCGUGGCG